UACGUAGGGUGCAAGCGGUGUCCGGAUUUAUUGGGUUUAAAGGGUGCGUAGGCGGUUCUUUAAGUCCGGGGUGAAAGCCCACUGCUCAACAGUGGAACUGCCCUGGAAACUGGAGAACUUGAGUACAGACGAGGGCGGCGGAAUGGAUGGUGUAGCGGUGAAAUGCAUAGAUACCAUCCAGAACCCCGAUUGCGAAGGCAGCUGCCUAGACUGUAACUGACGCUGAGGCACGAAAGCGUGGGGAGCGAACAGG
RNAcentral lists this ribosomal RNA (253 nucleotides) under uncultured bacterium. RNAcentral's name for it is "partial 16S ribosomal RNA". It matches the Rfam family "Bacterial small subunit ribosomal RNA", at positions 524 to 776 of the family's 1533-position model. The record is from RNAcentral.